Molecule: long non-coding RNA, 875 nt
Filed under: Brassica napus (rape)
Lineage: Eukaryota; Viridiplantae; Streptophyta; Magnoliopsida; Brassicales; Brassicaceae
Description: long non-coding RNA (BNAP_LNC021322)
Source: RNAcentral
AAACUUUUUUAAUCCCCCUCUCUAAUCAAUUUCGAAAUCGCAAUUAGAUAAAUUAAAAACGCGUUAAGAAAAUUGCCCAAUUAAAAAAAAACCGGACCCGGGUUAAAUUUAAAAAAAAAUUGUAUUGGGGAUAAAAUUAAAAUAAGGGUUUCUGUGUUCUUCACUCACAACACAGACAAACAACGAAGAAAAGAGAGAGAGAGAGAAAUAGAUGACGACGAGAAACAGAGAGAGAGAGAGAGACAACGACGACGACGUGAAAUAGAGAGAGAGACGACGACGACGACUAAGAACAGAGAAGAAAGAGAGAGAGGCAAAGAGAAGAAUGACCAAGUACGGAGGAGAGAGAUAGACGAAAAACAGAGAGAGAAACGAUCAGAAAGAGUGACAAAGAACUUCUCCACUGAUCAUGAGCAGCUCAGCCUCAUCUUCUUGGCGACAGAGAACAAUGGGAGGUGAGGCUGUGAUAGAUGAGAUUGGAAAGGUGGAUGCAAAACAUGAUGACUUGUGAAUGAUGUUCAUGAUCUGCGACAGAGUGUGAUGAAGCGCUUUGAGUUUCAAGAAACAAGGCUUGAGAAGAUGGAAGAAGAAGCUAUGAGAAAUUGAGAACUGAGAUGAAUGAAGAGAUGAUUGAAAGCUAUGAUAGGAUAUGUUUUUUUGGAAAGGGGUCUGCUAACUGAAAUGAUCACAUUCUCUUAUGUGUUUAGACUUAUGAAAGACUCUUAUGUGUUUAGUGUCGAAAAUGGUCAUGUUCUUUAUGUGGAUUUGUGAUGCUAAGUUUAGAACAUGAGUUUGACUUGUUAUGAUCGAAAAUUAUGCUUGAUUUUGCAUUUUUAUGCUUAAAAGUUUUAAAGAAUACAGUGUUUGUUUUUCCU